CAAUAGCGUAUAUUAAAGUUGUUGCAGUUAAAAAGCUCGUAGUUGGAUGUCUGGCUCUGUGUUGCGGUCCACCGCAAGGUGAGCACUGCGAUGUGGGGUCUUCCUCUUGAAUGCUGCGUGUGCUCUUAGUUGAGUGUGCGUGGGGUUUGGGAUCUUUACUUUGAAAAAUUAGAGUGUUCAAAGCAGGCGAUUGCUUGAAUAUAUUAGCAUGGAAUAAUGGAAUAGGACUUGGGUUCUAUUUUGUUGGUUUCUAGGACCGAGGUAAUGAUUAAUAGGGGGUAGUUGGGGGCGAUUCGUAUUAAUUGUCAGAGGUGAAUACUUGGAUUGUUAAGAACGGACUACUGCGAAAGCAUUUGUCCAAGGAUGUUUUCUAUUGUAUCAAGAACGAAAGUUAAGGGGAGUCGAAGACGAUUAGAUACCA
This 421-nucleotide ribosomal RNA is filed under the name uncultured eukaryote. RNAcentral describes it as "bacterial SSU rRNA". It matches the Rfam family "Eukaryotic small subunit ribosomal RNA", at positions 592 to 1017 of the family's 1831-position model. The record is from RNAcentral.